AAACGGUUGCCAGAACGCGAUACAACGCGAUACGAUCGCGUACAGACUAGAGUGGAGGUUCGUGUAACGCGACAACCCUUAGAUCAUGGGAAGGUGUGCUCCAUCUUAGCAGGAUUCCCGUAAGCGGCUUUGUAACGACUCUCUCGGAACUUUGGCAAGAACUUCUCGUCCUCCCGCGGCGCGAUCAAUUUUUCGGUAUACUACUUUUACACUCUCUGACUUUGGAGAGCGUGACAAGUUGGAAGGAUAAUUUUCCCGGAUAAAAGGAUGUUACAGUGUUUCUCGUAUUCGAAGAAUUUGUCACUUGGUAAUUCCUAGCGAAUUUAUCUUACUUUUUCUCGCGAAACCAGAAUACACAGGUUUUUAAAUCCUAAAAUUUGACUAACGUUACAUUUAACGUGGCACGUUCGUGGAAAGUGGAAUAAUGUAUGGGUACAGUCGACUUCGUUUAAGAAUUGUUGCAAAAACCGCUCCCAAAGGGAUAUUAAUCAAGAAAGCUGUGCGAGUUACGCGGUCAUACGCGGAAAAAAUGUAAAUGGACCGCUUACGCCUCGCUUUUCUCGCCGAUCUAAUGAACAACAUCCGCAUAGGUACGCAUAUUCCUCCACGACCGCAUAAGCGACGAAUUUCGCGCAGGCCGAGCCACGCCAUUUUACGCGAGAUCCGUUAAGGAUCAGCCGGGGUCAUAUUAUCUCGCAAAUGGCUCGACCUCCGUCAUGCCGGUUUGGUCUACGGUUUGCCAGCCCCGGAGCCACGUCCAAGAAUUCCAAGGAAGCGCGAGGACCGUGCAGUUCGUACCGGAACGAAAAUGGAAGAGAACAAGAUCCAGUGGCGUGGUAGCCAACGUCAGAUUGCGACCAAGAAAAAAGUACAAAUGGUAUAGGCGAACAACUCGAAAUGUAGAAGCUAACGAACUCGAAUGUUAGAAACAAAUUAAACUGUUAUUAAAAUAUCAA
Long non-coding RNA from Bombus huntii, 956 nucleotides. RefSeq lists it as uncharacterized. The record is from RefSeq and is a predicted model, not a curated record. NCBI's taxonomy places the organism in Eukaryota, Metazoa, Arthropoda, Insecta, Hymenoptera, Apidae. The transcript is spliced from 3 exons.